GACGAACGCUGGCGGCGUGCUUAACACAUGCAAGUCGAACGGAAAGGCCCUGCUUUUGUGGGGUGCUCGAGUGGCGAACGGGUGAGUAACACGUGAGUAACCUGCCCUUGACUUUGGGAUAACUUCAGGAAACUGGGGCUAAUACCAGAUAGGAGCUCCUGCUGCAUGGUGGGGGUUGGAAAGUUUCGGCGGUUGGGGAUGGACUCGCGGCUUAUCAGCUUGUUGGUGGGGUAGUGGCUUACCAAGGCUUUGACGGGUAGCCGGUCUGAGAGGGUGACCGGCCACAUUGGGACUGAGAUACGGCCCAGACUCCUACGGGAGGCAGCAGUGGGGAAUAUUGCACAAUGGGCGGAAGCCUGAUGCAGCAACGCCGCGUGCGGGAUGACGGCCUUCGGGUUGUAAACCGCUUUCGCCUGUGACGAAGCGUGAGUGACGGUAAUGGGUAAAGAAGCACCGGCUAACUACGUG
RNAcentral lists this ribosomal RNA (468 nucleotides) under uncultured bacterium. RNAcentral describes it as "partial 16S ribosomal RNA". It matches the Rfam family "Bacterial small subunit ribosomal RNA", at positions 28 to 507 of the family's 1533-position model. The record is from RNAcentral.